RNAcentral lists this non-coding RNA (45 nucleotides) under Schistosoma mansoni. Lineage: Eukaryota; Metazoa; Platyhelminthes; Trematoda; Strigeidida; Schistosomatidae. The record is from RNAcentral.
AUCCAGCUAACGAGUCCCAAAUAGGACGAAACGCGAAUACUGGAU